CAGUGCUCUGCACAUAGUAAGCGCUUAACAAAUGCCAACAUUAUUAUUAUUACAAUGCUCUGCACAAUAAAUGCUACCGAUCGAACCACAACCGUCAACUUGGAUAUUUCUCUCUCUGCUUGGGAAGUCUUGAGGGGUUAAUCGAGCAUCUUUCCCCAUUCACCCCCAGCUGCAGCGGCGGCAACCAGAGUUUGUUGCUCUACUCUCGAUGGAAUGGUCCAGGACGCCAAUCCUUGCUUAGUGACCAAGUGACUGGUAGCAGCUGGGGGUUUCCUGGAGCCUCUAAUACAGCCUGUGCAGCUCCGGACUUCUGGUAGGGAAAGAGGCCGAACUCUUCUAGGCAAGGCUGGUCAGAGAGAAGCGGCCUUGCCCGAAGAUUGACGUUGGUUUUCUCUGCGUCACUGCUUUGGAACCAUUCUAAAGUGGAAGAGGAAGGCAGCAGACCCGAAUUCCCUCUCCGUAAACCUGGGGUUGCCCGCCCACCUGAUCCAUCGCCACAAGUCCCAGCCAGCCUAUACCACCUACGUUUCUCCGAUGGUCAGGAGAUUUCUCCAACGCUCCCCUCCGGAACCGGAACUCCCCAAGACGGGCGGCCCGCCUGAAAUGGCCCAAGAAAGGCAGGAAGCAGAGAGUGAGGGGCCGCCCCAGUCAGCGCUCAGCCCUCAGAAUUCAGCGGCCGUCCCCCGGGGCCUGGAGCCUGACCCAGAACUCUUCCCUUCUGUCACCUUCUCCCUCCGCCCGGCCCAGGAAGUGAUCAGCCUGAGAGUUGCCCCAAAAGACAGUCCGGCCAAAAUCAGAUACGGAAACAACUCCGGAAUCCUUCUGGCAGCGGUUUUCCUGUGAGGGGCAGUUAGGUGGUGACGGCAGUUCGGCCUGAGAGUUUGCUCCUCGGAGACGUUUUUAGCUUCCUUUCUAACAGCUGAUUUGGUUCAAAGGGAUCCGGUCAAGGGAUCCGGCCCAAAGGCGGGGAGUUUGGGAACUGCUCUAGGGAAACUGCCGGGUGGCAGGAAUUCCUCAGGAGAUAGAGAUUGUCGAUCAAAUCCCUUUGCACUCCCCACUGGAUUCUAGGUCAUUUCUCGGCGUCUUGAGGAGGAGAUUGUUCUGGACUGUAAGGUCAUUGUGGGCAGGGGACAAGUCUACCGACUCUGUUGCAUUUUACUUUCCCAAGCGCUUAGUAUGGUGCUCUGCACAUUUUUCACUCAAAAGAUACCAUCGAUCGAUUGCUAUUAUUAUUAGAAGCGGCAUGGAGUAGUGGAUUGAGUACUGUUCUGGGAGUCAGGUGGUCAUGAGUUCUAAUCCUGACUCUGCCAUCUGUCUGCUGUUUGACCUUGAUCAGUCACUUCUGGGUGCCUCAGUUACCUCCUCUGUAAAAUGGGGAUGAGGACCGUGAGCCUCACAUGGGACGGAGACUGUGUCCAGCCCAAUUUGCUGCAUCCACCCCAGUGCUUAGUUCAGUGCCUGGCCCCCAGUAAGCGCUUAACAAAUGCCAUCAUCAUUAUUAUUAAUUAUUAUUAUGAUUUUAGAGCCUCUCUACUGCUAGAUUUUAUUUCCUUUUGACUUGAAAUCUCUGAAUGCCUCCUCCUUCACCCUCCAAAAUUCAGAGUCCCUCACACAGCAAGAACUCAGAAUGUGCACUUAUGGCUGACUGUUUAAUUAAUCCAAAAGGAUAUUUGAGCUGCAGAUUUCUGCUGGAGGGCAAGCCCAGAAACCGUGUAGAAACCUCCAGGGAAAUCCUGUUCUUGUGAAACACCCAGCUCAGUUUUGCCGAUACAAGAUGUGCAGUAAAUCUGGAGAAAGUGCAGGGAAACACCCAAACUUUAAGGAGCUCUCUUAAGCGAGCCUUUAGAGGUUUAUGCAUCACUUCCCAAAUAUUUUUAUGGUUUUCGGAGCCAGAAAGAAGAAAAAAAAAGACAAACACGUUUUCUCUUUUUCCUAAACAAUAAGGGGCCUUCAGGCUUCCAGAACAGUAACAGAGAAGGUCACAAGUAUUCCAGUGCCAGAUAGGAUGUCCAUACAUCUCGCUUUGGCUCGAGCAAUCCUGGAUUUCUGUAGGCUGAACCGGGCAACGUGAGUAAAAUAUCCCAGUGUCCUGGAAUUGGAACGGUCCCAGCCCAGUUGGUCAACCCACCCUUUACUCAUCCUCUGCUGCUCUUGCUCACUUUGGAGAAGCAGCUUGGCCUAGUCGAAAGUGCACGUGCUUGGGAAUCGGACGACCUGGAUUCUAAUCCGGGCUCUGCCACUUGUCUGCUGUGUGACUUUGGGCAAGCCACUUAAUUUCUCCGUGCCUCAGUUACCUCAUCUGUAAAAUGGGGAUUGAGACUGUGAGCCCCAUGAGCAAAAGGGAUUGAUCACGACCCGAUUUGCUCGUAUCCGCCCCAGCACUUAGUACAGUCCUUGGCAUAUAGUAAGUGCUUAACGAAUGCCCCGGUUAUUAUUAUUACUAUAGUUAUUAUUAUGUAGUACGGGACCGGGUCCAACCUGAUGGGCUAGUAACUACCUCAGCACUCAGUACAGUGCCUGGCAAAUGGCCAGUGUUUAACAAAGGCCUUAAAAAAAAAAAGAAUUGGGGUAGGGUUAGGAAAGGGGAAAUGUUCUCAAACUGAGGUGUGCACUAAGUGACGUGAACUAAAUAACAUGACCUGCUUAGUUGGGAUUUCUCCCAAACCCUCAGGGGUAGAAAACUUUCUGGGAACCCCUAGAUAUGGUGAACGGUGAAUCUUCAAGAGUCCUUAACAAAUACCAUUAAAAAACCGAUUAAUAUCGAUGGACUGAUAGAAAAUCUAGCCGAGGAGGGUCGAUGGGCCUGGAUCAAAAGGAGCAACCUUACGCGUGUGUGUUUGGGGGAGAUAGGGGCCAGGGAGAGGACACCAAUCAAUUAAGCGAUGGUAAUUACCCAG
This 2897-nucleotide long non-coding RNA is filed under the name Ornithorhynchus anatinus (platypus). RNAcentral describes it as "lncRNA (ENSOANG00000044807.1)". Lineage: Eukaryota; Metazoa; Chordata; Mammalia; Monotremata; Ornithorhynchidae. The record is from RNAcentral.